This 174-nucleotide ribosomal RNA is filed under the name Vibrio penaeicida. RNAcentral describes it as "partial 16S ribosomal RNA". It matches the Rfam family "Bacterial small subunit ribosomal RNA", at positions 379 to 543 of the family's 1533-position model. The record is from RNAcentral. Lineage: Bacteria; Pseudomonadati; Pseudomonadota; Gammaproteobacteria; Vibrionales; Vibrionaceae.
AAGCCUGAUGCAGCCAUGCCGCGUGCAUGAAGAAGGCCUUCGGGUUGUAAAGUACUUUCAGCAGUGAGGAAGGGUGUGAAGUUAAUAGCUUCAUAYCUUGACGUUAGCUGCAGAAGAAGCACCGGCUAACUCCGUGCCAGCAGCCGCGGUAAUACGGAGGGUGCGAGCGUUAAU